Molecule: long non-coding RNA, 903 nt
Organism: Cyprinus carpio carpio
Lineage: Eukaryota; Metazoa; Chordata; Actinopteri; Cypriniformes; Cyprinidae
Source: Ensembl
GAUAAUCGUUUCUUCAAACUGAUGACAAAAGAAGCACUCGGAUUACUUGUGUCACAUAGAAUUUAGGAUUGAUAGUAUGCACAUUGGGAAGCAGGCUGAGAUCUGACAAACGCCACUUCCUCAAUGACAUCAUCCUCUAGGAAGUGACAUCAUAUUGGAGGGAACAAAAGUUUGGCCUCUGGCUCCUGCAGGGCCCCCAAGCGAGCACUUUUUUGGGGUUCACAGUGCGGUGACCUCUGAGGAGAUGCAGUAACGUCCUGAACUCUUCAGCAUCAAAGAGAUCUGCGGGGGGCGGAGCUGAUACAGAACGCAUCACAAUGCCGGUCCACCUACACUCUCCCGCUCCUGUUCCUCACUUUCCUCAAGUAUGCGAAUAUGAAUGACUUCAGUCCUCUCCCUGUGACCUCUCUAUCACAUCACCUCUGGUUUGCAGCAGUGAUUCUUUGCAUUUCUUUAGGAUAAAAGCAGCACGAUAUCAGGCAGCGGUCAAAGAGCAGGUCUACUUUCCCUCGUUCUCCCCCUCUCUUGUUUUCUGCCUCUGGCAAAUCAUUCCCUCUCCUCUCCUCUUCUCUUCUCUUCUUUUCUCUUUUUUUUUUCUCUUUCUCUGUUCUUGUUGGGCUGUAAUUUAUGAUGUUGCAGCAGCACAAAUGAGAUGAAGUUUUUAUAACAGACGCCUGCUGACACACUUUAGCUCCCCUCUCUCUGUUAGGGAAAGUUAUUGGGCUUGUUAGUAACGGUCAUAAAAAGCUCGGGGCCGUUCACACUGUGCUUGUCAUGAUGUAGUUUAGUUAAUGUCAUUGUUUCAAGAGGGUGAAGUUAAUAAAUCACUAACUUCUCAAUGUGCUGCACACACACACACACACACACACACACACACACACACACACACACACACACACACAC